UUGAACACCCUCGCUUUAAACCAGGGGUGUCAAACUCAUUUUCAUUUUGGGCCAAAUCAAAAAUCUGAAUGUUCUUAAAGGGCUGGUUGUGACAGAAUCUACUGACAAAACCAAUUAAAUUGUUAAAAUGUCAAUAAAUAGCUGUUCCUCCAGGGUUUUGGGAUUGUUUUAGUGUAUUAUGGAGAUAAAAAGACAGAUUUUGUGGCGCUAAUCAGAAAUGU
This is a long non-coding RNA of Poecilia latipinna (sailfin molly), 221 nucleotides long. RefSeq lists it as uncharacterized. Lineage: Eukaryota; Metazoa; Chordata; Actinopteri; Cyprinodontiformes; Poeciliidae. The record is from RefSeq and is a predicted model, not a curated record. The transcript has 3 exons.